CAGUCGUACCUGUGGGUAAUCAGCCUUUUGGGUGUGCUUUUGUGGAGUGUGAGGAGUUAAACGCCUUCAUGCCUGCAUAUUCGUGCACUUUGGGUGUAUUUGCCCGUGUGGUAAGUUAACAUCAAUUUUGGUGGUCAUAAAAUGGCUGGAGGAAUGUAGCUUCGAUCUCGUAUUGAAGUGUUAUAGCCUUCGGUGGAUGUGAUUAUCGGGAUUGAGGAUUGCAACGGAUACCCUUCGGGGCUACCUGUCUGAUCUCUGAUCGUUGCUCUGGUGCCGAAAGCUUGCUUACGGAUAUCAAAGUCGAUGGUCAAUAGGUUAGAACGGGUUAAAUUCGUUAAGGAUGUUGACGUA
This 351-nucleotide ribosomal RNA is filed under the name uncultured Glomeromycotina. RNAcentral describes it as "LSU rRNA". The record is from RNAcentral. Lineage: Eukaryota; Fungi; Glomeromycota.